Molecule: ribosomal RNA, 620 nt
Filed under: uncultured Actinomycetes bacterium
Lineage: Bacteria; Bacillati; Actinomycetota; Actinomycetes
Description: bacterial SSU rRNA
Rfam family: Bacterial small subunit ribosomal RNA
Source: RNAcentral
UUACGAAGUGGCAUCACUUUGUAACGAAAGAAUUUCGGUUCGGGAGGGCCUCGCGGCCUAUCAGCUAGUUGGUGGGGUAAUGGCCUACCAAGGCAUCGACGGGUAGCUGGUCUGAGAGGAUGAUCAGCCACACUGGGACUGAGACACGGCCCAGACUCCUACGGGAGGCAGCAGUGGGGAAUCUUGUGCAAUGGGCGAAAGCCUGACACAGCCACGCCGCGUGCGGGAAGAAGGCCUUCGGGUUGUAAACCGCUUUCAGCAGGAACGAAAAUGACGGUACCUGCAGAAGAAGAUGCGGCCAACUACGUGCCACAGCCGCGGUGAUACGUAGGCAUCAAGCGUUGUCCGGAUUUAUUGGGCGUAAAGAGCUCGUAGGCGGUUCAACAAGUCGGGUGUGAAAACUCUGGGCUUAACCCAGAGCCUGCACUCGAAACUGCUGUGACUAGAGUUCGGUAGGGGAGCAGGGAAUACCUAGUGUAGCGGUGAAAUGCGCAGAUAUUAGGAGGAACACCAAUGGCGAAGGCACUGCUCUGGGCCGAUACUGACGCUGAGGAGCGAGAGCGUGGGUAGCAACCAGGAUUAGAUACCCUGGUAGUCCACGCCGUAAACGAUGGGCACUA